UCCCACCAGGCCCCACCUCCAACACUGGGGACUUCAAUUCGACGUGAAGUUUGGGCAGGACACAGGUCUAAACCAUACCACAUACCUUGACUGGGCUUUCUUGAUUUUAAAUGUGAUCUCCUGAGCGUGAGUGCAAGCUCUUGCGGAAUGUGUGGUUUGCCCCACCGAGUGAGUUGCUUGAGAACAGGAACUGGCUCUUACUGCUCUCCAGCCCCAAGCUCAUUACCUGGCACCUGCUAGGCCCCUUUAAAUUGUUAUUCAAUGAAGUAUUUGAGAAAUUAGAUGAGGAGAAAACCAAGACAACUCAGGCUCUGCACAAGAUCACAUAGUCUGCAUAGAGUCCAAUACUACUAACGUCCUGGGUACACAGAUGAAUGCGGGAUCAGAGCCGAGUACAGCGUGUCAGUCCUUAUGUGCACAUCCACAAUUCUACGGGAAGCUAAAGCCCACAAUAGUUGUAUGAGAUAUCACCCCUUCCUCCAAAUCCCAGGUUCUCAUCAGAGCAGGUGCUGCCUGUUGAAGGUGAAGGAGAUCACUGCCGGCACUGCUGCCGAUGUUCCAGUUCUCCCCCAUCCUGUGUGUGGGGUGGGGUGAGCAGGGCUGGCUUUGCCCUUUGGCCUUCUUUCAGCCUGGUUUGCUGGUGCAGCAGUUUGCCUCCCUUCUGGGUUCAGUGUGAAGCAGUUCAUCCUUCCCAGCUGAAGUUCAAAAGGUUAAAAGUCUUUCGAGGACCAAAUGUCUUCCAAGGGAACAGAAAAGAAGGCUGUCCUGAGGUUGUCAGUCUGGCCUGACUCAGCACAGCUUGAGCCAGGAUAUUUGGGGUGGUUCUCUUCAAUUAGCUGGAUUCUGUUUUCAUUUCGACGUUAGGAGCGGAAGUUGCUGGGACAGAUUCUGGAAAUGGAGCCAGGGCUAUUUCUGUAUAAGGAGCCAGGAGCAUGGAAAGUUUAAGCAAGUUGCGCAAGGUCAUGGAGCUGAUGAGAGAGAGCUGGGAUUUGAAUUAAGGCAUGGUCUGUUUCCAUACUCCCUGCUCUCUAUCACUAAUUCCCCAUAACUCUAGAAAAUGAAACAGCUACAGAAGAAACAGAUGUCUGAGCUUGAGGACACCAAUUUCACAUUAUAGGAUCAGUGAAUUUGGAGAUAGGGAGCAGCUGGCUGAGGGAGGAGCGCCCCAGCAUCUGUAUUGAUGGAGAAGAAACCCGGCUGGGUCCAUGGGGACCCACAGCUGCCACCAUCAAAGCCUCAUCCAGCAUAGGCCGGAGCAAGGGUAAAAGCUUAUUUGCGGGGAGCUGAACUUCCCCUUCCCCAAAGCCAGACAGCAACCUGAGUGACCCGGUUCAGAGUGGAAGCCUGAAUCCUCCCCUCCUUUCUCUUAUUUGUCAUUAUUUAAAAAUCCUUCAGUCCCCUUCAGGGCUCAGAUCUUAUUGCUGUUGAUUCCCGCCCCCUCCCCCUUUUUU
Molecule: long non-coding RNA, 1451 nt
Filed under: Homo sapiens (human)
Lineage: Eukaryota; Metazoa; Chordata; Mammalia; Primates; Hominidae
Description: HSALNT0329605
Source: RNAcentral